UCAGGCCUCAUGCAAGUCGAGCGGAUGAAGGUAGCUUGCUACCGGAUUCAGCGGCGGAGGGUGAGUAAUGCCUAGGAAUCUGCCCGAUAGUGGGGGAUAACGUUCCGAAAGGAACGCUAAUACCGCAUACGUCCUACGGGAGAAAGCGGGGGAUCUUCGGACCUCGCGCUAUCGGAUGAGCCUAGGUCGGAUUAGCUAGUUGGUGAGGUAAUGGCUCACCAAGGCGACGAUCCGUAGCUGGUNUGAGAGGAUGAUCAGCCACACUGGGACUGAGACACGGCCCAGACUCCUACGGGAGGCAGCAGUGGGGAAUAUUGGACAAUGGGGGAAAGCCUGAUCCAGCCAUGCCGCGUGUGUGAAGAAGGUCUUCGGAUUGUAAAGCACUUUAAGUUGGGAGGAAGGGGUUACUUAAUACGUGACAGUNUGACGUACCAAC
This 436-nucleotide ribosomal RNA is filed under the name uncultured bacterium. RNAcentral's name for it is "bacterial SSU rRNA". It matches the Rfam family "Bacterial small subunit ribosomal RNA", at positions 42 to 482 of the family's 1533-position model. The record is from RNAcentral.